CCUACGGGAGACUGCAGUGGGGAAUAUUGGUCAAUGGGCGCAAGCCUGACCCAGCGACGCCGCGUGAGGGAAGACGGUCUUCGGAUUGUAAACCUCUUUCAGCAGGGAAGACAAAAGGACGGUACCUGCAGAAGAAGCCACGGCUAACUACGUGCCAGCCGCCCCGGUACGACGGAGGUGGCAAGCGUUAUCCGGAAUUACUGGGUGUAAAGGGUGUGUAGGCGGGUUUGCAAGUCAGAUGGGAAAAUUAUGGGCCCAACCCAUAACCUGCGUCUGAAACUACAGAUCUUGAGAGGGGGAGAGGUAAGCGGAAUGCGUGGUGUAGCGGUGAAAUGCGUAGAUAUCGGGAGGAACACCAGUGGCGAAGGCGGUUUACUGGACCACAACUGACGCUGAGACACGAAAGCGUGGGGAGCAAACAGGAUUAGAUACCCGAGUAGUC
Molecule: ribosomal RNA, 442 nt
Filed under: uncultured bacterium
Lineage: Bacteria
Description: partial 16S ribosomal RNA
Rfam family: Bacterial small subunit ribosomal RNA
Source: RNAcentral